UGCAAAGGUAGCAUAAUCACUAGUUUUUUAAUUGGAAGCUUGAAUGAAAGGUUGGAUGAGGAAACUACUGUCUCAAUUAAAAUUUAUUAGAAUUUUAUUAUUUUGUAAAAAGGCAAAAAUUUAUAUAAAAGACGAGAAGACCCUAUAGAGUUUUAUAGUUUUAGAAGAAAGGGUAAUUAGAAUAUAUUUUUUUAUUUUUUAAAAUUAUUUGGUUGGGGUGAUUGAAAAAUUUGAUUAACUUUUUUUGUAUGAAUACAUAGAUUUAUGAAUAUUUGAUCCUUAAGAAAGAUUAAAAGAAAAAAUU
This 304-nucleotide ribosomal RNA is filed under the name Euwallacea sp. 2 KO-2014. RNAcentral's name for it is "partial 16S ribosomal RNA". Lineage: Eukaryota; Metazoa; Arthropoda; Insecta; Coleoptera; Curculionidae. The record is from RNAcentral.